CUUCUUCAAAGCCCUAAAUGUGUCUCUGCCCUUUCGAAAUUGUAAGUUACACUAGAUCCCUCACUUGUACCGUGUUCACCAUCCAUCCGUCCGCGUUCACCGCCGUGUUCCACCUCUCAAAAAAUGCGUACCAAAUCCUUCCCAUUUCGUUCGUCCGUCCGACUCUCUCCCUGCCACCGCCCUCUCCGAUUCUCUCUCUGCCUCCGUCUUUGACUCUCUCCCUGUUGCCAUGUCUCCAUCUCUCUCGCCUUCCUCUCAAUCUACAUUUUGUUACAUUCUUGUUCUUCUCCGUACGGCUUUCAUUUCUCCAUGUUUCAAUCGAUUAGUUUAUAAUUUUCGUUCAAUUUCUUUGUUCUUAAUAUGAUUUCCACCUCAAUUUUUCUAAGGUUUUUAAUUGUAGCUUGUGAUGUGUCACAUUCCAACCUAAAGAGUUCUUCUUCCUCGUUUGUUUAAAGAAUCCAACUUGCUCUUCUUACUCCUUAGUUAUCUACUGGUGUAAGUAUUUUUUGUUUUUUUUUAUUGAAUCUUUGAGUUUCUACAUUUUGGGAAUUGAAAAUUUUCUUUGUUCUGUUUCUUUCUUUAUUGAAAUCUUUUUUAAUUUUCUUUUUCUUUCUUUGACAUUAUUUCUUAUGUAAAUGUAAUCUUACUUUUUGUUUAUUUGUUAAUUUCAUUUGUAAUGUCUUAUACUCUUCUUGCCUUCUCCUCUUUGGUUUUUAAAUGCCUUACCUUGGCUACUCUCAUUUGGUUUUUGUUCUAGUUUUGUUCUCCAUCUCUGUUUGUUUCCAUGUGUGCUGUCUGUCGCACCUCUUUAAUUUGUGAUAAUUGGAACUUUUUUUGUUCUUGCUUCUUUAUUGGCUGGAUGCUUAGAGUCAAAGACUUGGUUGUGAGGAUUAUUUGAAAACGUGUUCGGAUAAUUACAUUUAUGUCUUGGCCUGGCAAGAUUUAAAAUUCACAUUUUUCUAUCCCCAUGUAUUUCAAUUUGGGCAAGCUUAGUAUUCUAUGUGAAAAUGUCUCCAUUUCACACGAUCCAACUGUAUACAAUAUCUCCAACGAUGGAAACUUAAUCGUACAUUUUCCAUUGUGAAAGCAAGCUAGUCUUGGUAAGGCAUAUAUUUCGAUUUCUUCUAGGUUUUUGAAAACAAUUUCACCAUUUCUUCUUCUCCUUCUUCGGAUGCAACUAUACAUCUCAUUUCUCUUAAGCUUGAUAUUUUGCACCAUAUAUAAAGUUGUUCUCAAUUCUCAAUGUUCAAUCACUGAAGUUAACCAAAUUGCACAGGUGUUUGUUUAGUAUCCAACAUUUCACUGGGCAUUUGAUGAAGAUUUCACGUUUUCUUGUUAAUGAUACAUGCCCUUUUUCUAAUUCAGCUUCAGAUUAUUAUACACACCAUCAAAAUAUUUAGUUUAAAAACAUUUGAUUACUCAUCAGUUUUAGUGUGGUUGCAUGUUUGAAGUUCAUAAAAGUAAUGGUAAUUUUGGUGGAUCAUAACUGAGGAGAUGGACCUAAUAACUGAGACAUACAUUGCUGCUCAUUAUUGUGGUACAAGCCAGCCCAGUUCGAAACUCUAUGCCUAAUUGUAGAAGUUGAAGAGGGAAAGUCGUCUGUCUCAGUGAUGCAAAUAUGCACUCAGGGUUAAAUGUUGCAUGAAAUGUUGCUGUAAAAUGUGCUACAAUCACCCCAGAUGAGGCCAGGGUCAAACAGUUUGGACUUAAAACUAUGUGGAGAAGUCCCAAUGGCACAAUUAUGGAAUAGACUCAUUCUCAUUUAUUGAUUUCGAUAAUUUUUUUUUCAUCCCCAAACCUUUUAUUUUCUAUCAUUACUUUUUAUUUCUAUUUAGUUCCAGAAAAUGGGGAGACAUGAAGAGAGCUUGAGGUUUAAGACUUCAAAGGAUCAGGCAUAGCACUUACAAUUGAUAAUGUGGAUGAGAUUGAUACAUGAAAACCAUACUCACAAUCCGAGUUAGAUGAGUUGCGGGUUGAGUUGGCUGAGUUUUUGGGUUCAUACAUAUGAUCUAGGACUUAUUUGUCAUUCUAAAAUAGGAAACUUUAUUUUUUGUGGCUGAAUUUUUGAAAUGUUCAUAUAGAGGGGGGGAAUGAGGGUUGAUUGAUAUACUUUUGAGACUUUGUUGUGGUUUAGGGUUUAGGUGAAUUGUUCAUAUGUAGGGGGUUGCCAUUAUGAAAUUUUAUGUAUAGGAAUGGUAUACUUUUGGGCUAAGUUAGUUAAUUAGAUGAUGCUUAGUUCAAUUCUUGGAAAUCUGCUGAAAUUGUUUAUAUAUUGGUUUUGUAAAUGAUAUAUGAAUAUGAUGCAAAGUUUUGGAAAUGAUAUGAAUAGAUGAUGUUGAGUUGCCAUUUGAUGAA
This is a long non-coding RNA of Cucumis melo (muskmelon), 2355 nucleotides long. RefSeq lists it as uncharacterized. Lineage: Eukaryota; Viridiplantae; Streptophyta; Magnoliopsida; Cucurbitales; Cucurbitaceae. The transcript has 4 exons. The record is from RefSeq and is a predicted model, not a curated record.